Long non-coding RNA from Erigeron canadensis, 715 nucleotides. RefSeq lists it as uncharacterized. The transcript has 4 exons. Lineage: Eukaryota; Viridiplantae; Streptophyta; Magnoliopsida; Asterales; Asteraceae. The record is from RefSeq and is a predicted model, not a curated record.
CUUUCCUCCCUAAUCCCUCCCCCCAAACCCUCAAAUUUAUUUUCUCAAAAUACAUAAACGUUCGUCGGCGAUCUAUAUUUUCUAAAUCAUUAAUACCUAUUGACGAAAACUCUUGUGGGCUUAUACAAAAUGAGUUCCGUUGAUUUUGAACAUUUGGGUAAUCCCACCGGAUCUAUUGACGAAAUAGUUGCUAAGUUUCCAUUGGUGACGUGGACCUUGAAGGCAUGUUCACAUUUGGCUGUAUGCCCUUGAGUCGACACUCUAUCUUCUUCGGUCAAAAUAAAAUUAGGAAAAAGAGGGUGGUUAUUUUCACUUGGAGGGCUUACAUAUCUGUCUAUGCAAUGUGUAAAGCAAGCUGCAAUGGGAUUCAGAGCCAGGGGUGUAGCUAUUGAUGUUAUCGACUUCUAAACAGGUGUAACACCCCGAUAUCCUUUUCCUGACUCCUCAUGUCCAAAAACGGAGCUUGAGGCCUUAGUUCACUGAUGCAAUGGUAAUGACAAUCGCAACAGCCACAUUGUAAAAGCUGGAUCAGGUUCCAUUCGUGAUGCGAUGUCCAGUUUAUUUGAACUGAAAUCCGAGGAACAGACAAACAUAAACAACACAUCUCUUUUUAGAAAGAUGUGUCAUUAGUCAUUUACUUUCACUCAAAAAUGUAGCAUGUCCAUAACCUACUCGAUCAGUCUAAGUUAGUAAGAUAUCUUGGUUGCUUUUAAAA